This 121-nucleotide ribosomal RNA is filed under the name Lupinus angustifolius (narrow-leaved blue lupine). Lineage: Eukaryota; Viridiplantae; Streptophyta; Magnoliopsida; Fabales; Fabaceae. The record is from RNAcentral.
AUGUGCGAUCAUACCAGCACUAAUGCUCCGGAUCCCAUUAGAACUCCGCAUUUAAGCGUGCUUGGGCGAGAGUAGUACUAGGAUGGGUGACCUCUCCUGGGAAGUUCUCGUGUUGCACCUC